Molecule: ribosomal RNA, 405 nt
Filed under: Bacillus sp. DIT 06
Lineage: Bacteria; Bacillati; Bacillota; Bacilli; Caryophanales; Bacillaceae
Description: bacterial SSU rRNA
Rfam family: Bacterial small subunit ribosomal RNA
Source: RNAcentral
UUCGGGGGCAGAGUGACAGGUGGUGCAUGGUUGUCGUCAGCUCGUGUCGUGAGAUGUUGGGUUAAGUCCCGCAACGAGCGCAACCCUUGAUCUUAGUUGCCAGCAUUCAGUUGGGCACUCUAAGGUGACUGCCGGUGACAAACCGGAGGAAGGUGCCGAUGGGUUCAAAUCAUCAUGCCCCUUAUGACCUGGGCUAGGCUUCUGCUACAAUGGACAGAUCAAAGGGCAGCGAAACCGCGAGGUUAAGCCAAUCCCACAAACCUGUUCUCAGUUCGGAUCGCAGUCUGCAACUCGACUGCGUGACACUGGAAUCGAUAGUAAUCGCGGAUCAGCACGGCACGGUGAAUACGUUCCCGGGCCUUGUUGGACGAAAGUGUCACGCCGCAAGAGUUUGUGACACCCGAU